Molecule: small nucleolar RNA, 73 nt
Filed under: Trypanosoma theileri
Lineage: Eukaryota; Euglenozoa; Kinetoplastea; Trypanosomatida; Trypanosomatidae
Description: Trypanosomatid snoRNA TB10cs1H3
Rfam family: Trypanosomatid snoRNA TB10cs1H3
Source: Rfam by way of RNAcentral
CAGUACGCAGGAACGUGGCAGGCUGCGGAGGGUCGCAUCCAUCCCUCACGCGGUUCAACAACAUGAUCCUAGA